This 254-nucleotide ribosomal RNA is filed under the name uncultured bacterium. Its description in RNAcentral is "partial 16S ribosomal RNA". It matches the Rfam family "Bacterial small subunit ribosomal RNA", at positions 74 to 334 of the family's 1533-position model. The record is from RNAcentral.
CAAACCAAAGCUGGCGACCGGCGCACGGGUGAGUAACACGUAUCCAACCUGCCUCAUACUCGGGGAUAGCCUUUCGAAAGAAAGAUUAAUAUCCGAUAGCAUAUAUUUCCCGCAUGGGUUUUAUAUUAAAGAAAUUCGGUAUGAGAUGGGGAUGCGUUCCAUUAGUUUGUUGGGGGGUAACGGCCCACCAAGACUACGAUGGGUAGGGGUUCUGAGAGGAAGGUCCCCCACAUUGGAACUGAGACACGGUCCAA